UAAGGAAUAUUGGUCAAUGGGCGGGAGCCUGAACCAGCCACGCCGCGUGCAGGAAGAAGGCCCUAUGGGUUGUAAACUGCUUUUAUACGGGAAGAAAGUACCCCAUGCGUGGGGUCGUGACGGUACCGUAUGAAUAAGCAUCGGCUAACUCCGUGCCAGCAGCCGCGGUAAUACGGAGGAUGCGAGCGUUAUCCGGAUUCAUUGGGUUUAAAGGGUGCGUAGGCGGGCAUAUAAGUCAGAGGUGAAAUCCGGCAGCUCAACUGUCGCACUGCCUUUGAUACUGUAUGUCUUGAGUUAAGUUGAAGCAGGCGGAAUGUGACAUGUAGCGGUGAAAUGCAUAGAUAUGUCACAGAACACCGAUAGCGAAGGCAGCCUGCUAAAGUUAUACUGACGCUGAUGC
RNAcentral lists this ribosomal RNA (400 nucleotides) under uncultured bacterium. RNAcentral's name for it is "bacterial SSU rRNA". It matches the Rfam family "Bacterial small subunit ribosomal RNA", at positions 355 to 752 of the family's 1533-position model. The record is from RNAcentral.